RNAcentral lists this ribosomal RNA (641 nucleotides) under Caballeronia sp. RNAcentral describes it as "bacterial SSU rRNA". It matches the Rfam family "Bacterial small subunit ribosomal RNA", at positions 119 to 756 of the family's 1533-position model. Lineage: Bacteria; Pseudomonadati; Pseudomonadota; Betaproteobacteria; Burkholderiales; Burkholderiaceae. The record is from RNAcentral.
CGGAACGUGUCCUGUAGUGGGGGAUAGCCCGGCGAAAGCCGGAUUAAUACCGCAUACGAUCUACGGAAGAAAGCGGGGGAUCGCAAGACCUCGCGCUAUAGGGGCGGCCGAUGGCAGAUUAGCUAGUUGGUGGGGUAAAGGCCUACCAAGGCGACGAUCUGUAGCUGGUCUGAGAGGACGACCAGCCACACUGGGACUGAGACACGGCCCAGACUCCUACGGGAGGCAGCAGUGGGGAAUUUUGGACAAUGGGGGAAACCCUGAUCCAGCAAUGCCGCGUGUGUGAAGAAGGCCUUCGGGUUGUAAAGCACUUUUGUCCGGAAAGAAAACCUUCGAGUUAAUACCUUGGGGGGAUGACGGUACCGGAAGAAUAAGCACCGGCUAACUACGUGCCAGCAGCCGCGGUAAUACGUAGGGUGCGAGCGUUAAUCGGAAUUACUGGGCGUAAAGCGUGCGCAGGCGGUUCGUUAAGACAGAUGUGAAAUCCCCGGGCUUAACCUGGGAACUGCAUUUGUGACUGGCGAGCUAGAGUAUGGCAGAGGGGGGUAGAAUUCCACGUGUAGCAGUGAAAUGCGUAGAGAUGUGGAGGAAUACCGAUGGCGAAGGCAGCCCCCUGGGCCAAUACUGACGCUCAUGCACGA